Molecule: ribosomal RNA, 468 nt
Filed under: uncultured bacterium
Lineage: Bacteria
Description: partial 16S ribosomal RNA
Rfam family: Bacterial small subunit ribosomal RNA
Source: RNAcentral
GACGAACGCUGGCGGCGUGCUUAACACAUGCAAGUCGAACGGAAAGGCCCUGCUUUUGUGGGGUGCUCGAGUGGCGAACGGGUGAGUAACACGUGAGUAACCUGCCCUUGAAUUUGGGAUAACUUCAGGAAACUGGGGCUAAUACAGGAUAGGAGCUCCUGCUGCAUGGGGGGGGUUGGAAAGUUGCGGCGGUUGGGGAUGGGAUGGAGGGUUAUCAGCUUGUUGGGGGGGUAGUGGUUUACCAAGGGUUCGAGGGGUAGCCGGCCUGAGAGGGGGACCGGGCACAUUGGGACUACGAGACGGCCCAGACUGCUACGGGAGGCAGCGGGGGGGAGUAUUGCGCAGUGGGCGGGAGCCUGAUGCAGCAACGCCGCGUGCGGGAAAACGGCCUUCGGGUGGAAAACCGCUGUCGCCUGUGACGAAGCGUGAGUGACGGUAACGGGUAAAAAAGCACCGGCUAACUACGUG